GGGGUUGACUGGUUUUGACAGCAAGUCCAAUGGGUAAGUAAGCAUGCAGUGAAAUGUUGUGUACUCACUUUAAUCAGGCACUUCGACUUUUUAACUGGCAACGAAGAGUACGCUUUAGCUGCAUAAUCCGAAUUAUAGUAGGAUUCGCUUUUAUCCGUAUUAGAUACGGAAGCUGAAUAUCCCUCAGAAGCCUUGACUUACGGCGUCUGAUCAAGGGAUACGGGAAAGUAAGAAUAGGGAUUCUGAUGUUUCUAAGGAAUCUUGAAAUUUUAGAAAAUAAGCGUAUGACAGGGUGUUUGUUCUCAGGAUUACGCCGACAAUUAAAAACAAACUAAGCAUGUAGAAAGCUUAUUUGUUGCUUGUUUGGACGCGGGUUCGAAUCCCGCCAGCUCCACAA
Molecule: transfer-messenger RNA, 397 nt
Filed under: Faecalibacter macacae
Lineage: Bacteria; Pseudomonadati; Bacteroidota; Flavobacteriia; Flavobacteriales; Weeksellaceae
Description: Standard tmRNA
Rfam family: transfer-messenger RNA
About the family: Bacterial tmRNA, also known as 10Sa RNA or SsrA, is named for its dual tRNA and mRNA-like properties. Its role is to liberate the mRNA from a stalled ribosome.
Source: RNAcentral